UACGUAGGGUGCGAGCGUUAAUCGGAAUUACUGGGCGUAAAGCGUGCGCAGGCGGUCUGUUAAGACAGAUGUGAAAUCCCCGGGCUUAACCUGGGAACUGCAUUUGUGACUGGCAGGCUAGAGUAUGGCAGAGGGGGGUAGAAUUCCACGUGUAGCAGUGAAAUGCGUAGAUAUCAGGAGGAAUACCGAUGGCGAAGGCAGGUCUCUGGGCUGACACUGACGCUCAUGCACGAAAGCGUGGGGAGCAAACAGG
Molecule: ribosomal RNA, 253 nt
Filed under: uncultured bacterium
Lineage: Bacteria
Description: partial 16S ribosomal RNA
Rfam family: Bacterial small subunit ribosomal RNA
Source: RNAcentral